ACGAACGCUGGCGGCGUGCCUAAUACGUGCAAGUUGAGCGCUGAAGGUUGGUACUUGUACCAACUGGAUGAGCAGCGAACGGGUGAGUAACGCGUGGGGAAUCUGCCUUUGAGCGGGGGACAACAUUUGGAAACGAAUGCUAAUACCGCAUAAAAACUUUAAACACAAGUUUUAAGUUUGAAAGAUGCAAUUGCAUCACUCAAAGAUGAUCCCGCGUUGUAUUAGCUAGUUGGUGAGGUAAAGGCUCACCAAGGCGAUGAUACAUAGCCGACCUGAGAGGGUGAUCGGCCACAUUGGGACUGAGACACGGCCCAAACUCCUACGGGAGGCAGCAGUAGGGAAUCUUCGGCAAUGGACGAAAGUCUGACCGAGCAACGCCGCGUGAGUGAAGAAGGUUUUCGGAUCGUAAAACUCUGUUGGUAGAGAAGAACGUUGGUGAGAGUGGAAAGCUCAUCAAGUGACGGUAACUACCCAGAAAGGGACGGCUAACUACGUG
Molecule: ribosomal RNA, 496 nt
Filed under: uncultured bacterium
Lineage: Bacteria
Description: partial 16S ribosomal RNA
Rfam family: Bacterial small subunit ribosomal RNA
Source: RNAcentral